CAGUAGCCGCGGGAAUACGUAGGGUGCGAGCGUUAAUCGGAAUUACUGGGCGUAAAGCGUGCGCAGGCGGUUUUGUAAGACAGGCGUGAAAUCCCCGGGCUCAACCUGGGAAUGGCGCUUGUGACUGCAAAGCUAGAGUGCGGCAGAGGGGGAUGGAAUUCCGCGUGUAGCAGUGAAAUGCGUAGAUAUGCGGAGGAACACCGAUGGCGAGGGCAAUCCCCUGGGCCUGCACUGACGCUCAUGCACGAAAGCGUGGGGAGCAAACAGGAUUAGAUACCCCGGUAGUCCCUGUCUCUUAUAC
This 301-nucleotide ribosomal RNA is filed under the name uncultured bacterium. Its description in RNAcentral is "partial 16S ribosomal RNA". It matches the Rfam family "Bacterial small subunit ribosomal RNA", at positions 509 to 807 of the family's 1533-position model. The record is from RNAcentral.